GAUUAAGUUAUUAAGGGCGCACGGUGGAUGCCUUGGCACUAGAAGCCGAUGAAGGACGUUACUAACGACGAUAUGCUUUGGGGAGCUGUAAGUAAGCUGUGAUCCAGA
RNAcentral lists this ribosomal RNA (108 nucleotides) under Staphylococcus arlettae. RNAcentral's name for it is "partial 23S ribosomal RNA". It matches the Rfam family "Bacterial large subunit ribosomal RNA", at positions 1 to 108 of the family's 2925-position model. Lineage: Bacteria; Bacillati; Bacillota; Bacilli; Caryophanales; Staphylococcaceae. The record is from RNAcentral. RNAcentral also lists the same sequence under 1 other name.